AGCAAACAGGAUUAGAUACCCUGGUAGUCACGCUGUAAACGAUGUCGAUUUGGAGUUUGGGGGCAUGACCCUUCGGCUCGGAGCUAACGCGUUAAAUCGACCGCUGGGGAGUACGGCCGCAAGGUUAAAACUCAAAUGAAUUGACGGGGGCCCGCACAAGCGGUGGAGCAUGUGGUUUAAUUCGAUGCAACGCGAAGAACCUUACCUGGUCUUGACAUCCAUAGAAUUUUUCAGAGAUGAGAGAGUGCCUUCGGGAGCUAUGAGACAGGUGCUGCAUGGCUGUCGUCAGCUCGUGUUGUGAAAUGUUGGGUUAAGUCCCGCAACGAGCGCAACCCUUAUCCUUUGUUGCCAGCGGUUAAAGCCGGGAACUCAAAGGAGACUGCCGUUGAUAAAGCGGAGGAAGGUGGGGACGACGUCAAGUCAUCAUGGCCCUUACGACCAGGGCUACACACGUGCUACAAUGGCGUAUACAAAGGGAUGCGAAGGUGCGAACUGGAGCGGACCUCACAAAGUACGUCUAAGUCCGGAUUGGAGUCUGCAACUCGACUCCAUGAAGUCGGAAUCGCUAGUAAUCGUGAAUCAGAAUGUCACGGUGAAUACGUUCCCGGGCCUUGUACACACCGCCCGUCACACCAUGGGAGUGGGUUGCACCAGAAGUAGAUAGCUUAACCUUCGGGAGGGCGUUUACCACGGUGUGGUUCAUGACUGGGGUGAAGUCGUAACAAGGUAACCA
Molecule: ribosomal RNA, 733 nt
Filed under: uncultured Enterobacteriaceae bacterium
Lineage: Bacteria; Pseudomonadati; Pseudomonadota; Gammaproteobacteria; Enterobacterales; Enterobacteriaceae
Description: bacterial SSU rRNA
Rfam family: Bacterial small subunit ribosomal RNA
Source: RNAcentral